UACGUAGGGGGCAAGCGUUGUCCGGAUUUAUUGGGCGUAAAGAGCGUGUAGGCGGCCUGACAGGUCUGCUGUGAAAACUCGAGGCUCAACCUCGAGAUGUCGGCGGAAACCGUCUGGCUAGAGUCCGGAAGAGGAGAGUGGAAUUCCUGGUGUAGCGGUGAAAUGCGCAGAUAUCAGGAAGAACACCUAUGGCGAAGGCAGCUCUCUGGGACGGUACUGACGCUGAGACGCGAAAGCGUGGGGAGUGAACAGG
RNAcentral lists this ribosomal RNA (253 nucleotides) under uncultured bacterium. Its description in RNAcentral is "partial 16S ribosomal RNA". It matches the Rfam family "Bacterial small subunit ribosomal RNA", at positions 524 to 776 of the family's 1533-position model. The record is from RNAcentral.